GAUGAAGAACGCAGCGAAAUGUUACUUGGUGUGAAUUGCAGAAUCCCGUGAACCAUCGAGUCUUUGAACGCAAGUUGCGCCCGAAGCCAUCAGGUUGAGGGCACGUCUGCCUGGGCGUCACAUAUCGUUGCCCAAUGCCUAUUGCAGUGCAAUAGGAAUUUCUAGGGCGAAUGAUGGCUUCCCGUGAGCGUUGUUGCCUCGCGGUUGGUUGAAAAUCGAGUCCUUGGUAGGGUGUGCCAUGGUAGAUGGUGGUCGAGUUAGAACGAUACCGAUCAUGUGCAUGCUCCCCAAAAUAUGGCCUCUAUGACCCACACGCGUCUUUUGACGCUCAUGACGAGACCUCAGGUCAGGCGGGGCUACCCGCUGAAUUUAAGCAUAUCAAUAAGCGGAGGA
This 393-nucleotide unclassified non-coding RNA is filed under the name soil metagenome. Its description in RNAcentral is "partial contains 5.8S ribosomal RNA, internal transcribed spacer 2, and large subunit ribosomal RNA". The stretch from base 1 to 120 matches the Rfam family "5.8S ribosomal RNA", at positions 35 to 154 of the family's 154-position model. The record is from RNAcentral.